Long non-coding RNA from Gopherus flavomarginatus (Mexican gopher tortoise), 221 nucleotides. RefSeq lists it as uncharacterized. The transcript has 3 exons. Lineage: Eukaryota; Metazoa; Chordata; Testudines; Testudinidae. The record is from RefSeq and is a predicted model, not a curated record.
AACCAGGAAUGCGCUGACAUCAAAAUACUAUUGGCCAGGGAUGACAAAAGACAUUGCCAAUUAGAUUGCACAGUGUCUGACUUGCCAGAAAGAGGGAAAGCAAUCAAAUCUGGAUACCACCUUGAAAAGCAUAGAGGUCACUCGGAUCUGGGAAUUGGUGGGAAUGGAUUUAAUAGGACCGUUUCCAGUGACAAAGAAUGGAUACCAGUAUAUACUUACAG